CCCUUAGAUGUUCUGGGCCGCACGCGCGCUACACUGACGAAUGCAACGAGCUUAUAACCUUGGCCGAAAGGUCUGGGUAAUCUCCAAAUUUCGUCGUGAUGGGGAUAGAUUAUUGCAAUUAUUAAUCUUCAACGAGGAAUGCCUAGUAAGCGCAAGUCAUCAGCUUGCGUUGAUUACGUCCCUGCCCUUUGUACACACCGCCCGUCGCACCUACCGAUUGGAUGGUCCGGUGAAGCCUCGGGAUUGUGGUUCUUGCCGCUUUAUUGUGGCGUGACCGCGAGAACUUGUCUAAACCUUAUCAUCUAGAGGAAGGUGAANUCGUANCA
RNAcentral lists this ribosomal RNA (326 nucleotides) under uncultured eukaryote. RNAcentral's name for it is "partial 18S ribosomal RNA". It matches the Rfam family "Eukaryotic small subunit ribosomal RNA", at positions 1470 to 1796 of the family's 1831-position model. The record is from RNAcentral.